AAGAAAAGGACUUGGGAUCAUCUUCCUCUUCAUAAACAAAACCUAAAAAGACCCUACACCCUCUAGGAUCCUUCAGUCGAAAAUACACAUAAAAGCCUAGACCUAGGGACAAAAAAUGGGAAGUCAGUCGCAACACCUCACACAGACAGAAAUCUUUCUCCGUGAAAUCAUCAUUAACUAUUCCGAUGCAUUAAGCGAGAUCCGCUUUGAGAGUUUGAUUGACAAAACGCCGAGAACGAGCUGAAAAAUAGCAGCGACAAAAGAGGAGUUUGAAAUUACCGUUGAGAUCUCCAGUCGCCAGCUUUUACUUGUACUUCCAAACAGAAAUCGUUAAAGACUAUUGAAGGUUCAUCUUUUCCUUCUCCUUAAUGUUAGUGUUUUAAUUAUUUGUGAAGAUUUUCUUUAUACAUUCAUGGACCAUAUCAUGUUUGCUUUACUUUUCUUGUUAUUUGGGUCUGAUUAUUCUUGUGUGCUGUGAUUUCUUAAUUUGAUAUCUAAUUGUCUUGUGGUGAUAUUAUUGGACUGGUCAUGUAGUUAAUUUGGUUUGAAUUAUUAUUUGUUAUCAUUAUUAUAAUUUUUUUUAAAAUGAAAGAAUAAAGAAGAAGAAUGAGUUGUUCGAAAUAUCAUGGAGAUUUGAUCUUGAAAAUGUGAUGUGUGUUG
Molecule: long non-coding RNA, 660 nt
Filed under: Nicotiana benthamiana
Lineage: Eukaryota; Viridiplantae; Streptophyta; Magnoliopsida; Solanales; Solanaceae
Description: long non-coding RNA (NBEN_LNC019868)
Source: RNAcentral